GACGAACGCUGGCGGCGUGCUUAACACAUGCAAGUCGAACGGAAAGGCCUCUUUCGGGGGGUACUCGAGUGGCGAACGGGUGAGUAACACGUGAGUAACCUGCCCUUGACUUUGGGAUAACUUCAUGAAACUGGGGCUAAUACCGGAUAGGAGCUCCUGCUGCAUGGUGGGGGUUGGAAAGUUUCGGCGGUUGGGGAUGGACUCGCGGCUUAUCAGCUUGUUGGUGGGGUAGUGGCUUACCAAGGCUUUGACGGGUAGCCGGCCUGAGAGGGUGACCGGCCACAGUGGGACUGAGAGACGGCCCAGACUCCGACGGGAGGCAGCAGUGGGGAAUAUUGCACAAUGGGUGGAAGCCUGAUGCAGCAACGCCGUGUGCGGGAUGACGGCAUUAGGGUUGUAAACCGCUUUCGCUCAUGACGAAGCUUUGUGUGACGGUAGUGGGUAAAGAAGCACCGGCUAACUACGUG
Molecule: ribosomal RNA, 467 nt
Filed under: uncultured bacterium
Lineage: Bacteria
Description: partial 16S ribosomal RNA
Rfam family: Bacterial small subunit ribosomal RNA
Source: RNAcentral